This 468-nucleotide ribosomal RNA is filed under the name uncultured bacterium. RNAcentral's name for it is "partial 16S ribosomal RNA". It matches the Rfam family "Bacterial small subunit ribosomal RNA", at positions 28 to 507 of the family's 1533-position model. The record is from RNAcentral.
GACGAACGCUGGCGACGUGCUUAACACAUGCAAGUCGAACGGACAGGCCCUGCUUUUGUGGCGUGCUCGAGUGGCGCGCGGGUGAGUAACACGCGAGUAACCUGCCCUUGACUUUGGGGUAAAUUUAGGAAACUGCGGCUAAUACAGGAUAGGAGCUCCUGCUGCAUGGUGGGGGUUGGAAAGAUUCGGCGGUUGGGGAUGGACUGGCGGGUUAUCAGCUUGUUGGGGAGGUAGUGGCUUACCAAGGCUUUGACGGGUAGCCGGCCUUGGAGGGUGACCGGCCACAUUGGGACUGAGAUACGGACCAGACUCGUACGGGAGGCAGCAGUGGGGAAUAUUACGCAAUGGGCGGAAGCCUGAUGCAGCAGCGCCGCGUGCGUGAUGAUGGCCUUCGGGGUGUAAACCGCUGUCGCCUGUGACGAGGCGUGAGUGACGGUAAUGGGUAAAGAAGCACCGGCUAACUACGUG